CAAGUAAUUAAGUGCAUGUGGUGGAUGCCUUGGCAGUCAGAGGCGAUGAAAGACGUGAUAGCCUGCGAAAAGCUCCGGGGAGGCGGCAAAUAUCCUUUGAUCCGGAGAUGUCUGAAUGGGGGAACCCACCUACUUUAAGGUAGGUAUUGCAACAUGAAUACAUAGUGUUGCAAGGCGAACGAGGGGAAGUGAAACAUCUCAGUACCCUUAGGAAAAGAAAUCAAUUGAGAUUCCCUCAGUAGCGGCGAGCGAACGGGGAUCAGCCCAUUAAGUUAUGUGUGUUUUAGUGGAACGCUCUGGGAAGUGCGAACGUAGAGGGUGAUAUUCCCGUACACGAAAGGGCACACAUAAUGAUGACGAGUAGGGCGAGGCACGUGAAACCUUGUCUGAAUAUGGGGGGACCAUCCUCCAAGGCUAAAUACUCCUGACUGACCGAUAGUGAACCAGUACCGUGAGGGAAAGGCGAAAAGAACCCCUGUGAGGGGAGUGAAAUAGAUCCUGAAACCGCAUGCAUACAAGCAGUGGGAGCACCUUCGUGGUGUGACUGCGUACCUUUUGUAUAAUGGGUCAGCGACUUAUAUUCAGUAGCGAGGUUAACCGUAUAGGGGAGCCGUAGAGAAAUCGAGUCUUAAUAGGGCGUUUAGUUGCUGGGUAUAGACCCGAAACCAGGCGAUCUAUCCAUGAGCAGGUUGAAGGUUGGGUAACACUAACUGGAGGACCGAACCCACUGUCGUUGAAAAGCCAGGGGAUGACUUGUGGAUAGGGGUGAAAGGCUAAUCAAGCCUGGUGAUAGCUGGUUCUCCCCGAAAGCUAUUUAGGUAGCGCCUCGGACGAAUACCAUAGGGGGUAGAGCACUGUUUCGGCUAGGGGGUCAUCCCGACUUACCAAACCGAUGCAAACUCCGAAUACCUAUGAGUACUAUCCGGGAGACAGACUGCGGGUGCUAACGUCCGUAGUCAAGAGGAAAACAAUCCAGACCGCCAGCUAAGGCCCCAAAAUCAUAGUUAAGUGGGAAACGAUGUGGGAAGGCAUAGACAGCUAGGAGGUUGGCUUAGAAGCAGCCACCCUUUAAAGAAAGCGUAAUAGCUCACUAGUCGAGUCGGCCUGCGCGGAAGAUGUAACGGGGCUAAAACUAUGUGCCGAAGCUGCGGAUGUAUACUUUGUAUACGUGGUAGGGGAGCGUUCUGUAAGCCGAUGAAGGUGUGUUGAGAAGCAUGCUGGAGGUAUCAGAAGUGCGAAUGCUGACGUGAGUAACGACAAAACGGGUGAAAAACCCGUUCGCCGAAAGACCAAGGGUUCCAGUCCAACGUUAAUCGGGGCUGGGUGAGUCGACCCCUAAGGCGAGGCCGAAAGGCGUAGUCGAUGGGAAAAUGGUUAAUAUUCCAUUACUUCUGUGUAAUGCGAUGAGAGGACGGAGAAGGCUAAAUCAGCCUGGCGUUGGUUGUCCAGGUGAAAGGAUGUAGGCAUGUAUCUUAGGCAAAUCCGGGGUACUCUAUGCUGAGAUCUGAUAGCAAGCUGUACUUGUACAGCGAAGUGGUUGAUGCCAUGCUUCCAGGAAAAGUCUCUAAGCUUCAGUUACACAGGAAUCGUACCCGAAACCGACACAGGUGGUCAGGUCGAGUAGACCAAGGCGCUUGAGAGAACUCUGCUGAAGGAACUAGGCAAAAUGGUACCGUAACUUCGGGAGAAGGUACGCUGUUGUUGGUGAUGGAACUCGCUUCCUGAGCUGACGACAGCCGCAGAAACCAGGCCGCUGCAACUGUUUAUUAAAAACAUAGCACUCUGCAAACACGAAAGUGGACGUAUAGGGUGUGAUGCCUGCCCGGUGCUGGAAGGUUAAUUGAUGGGGUUAGCGUAAGCGAAGCUCUUGAUCGAAGCCCCAGUAAACGGCGGCCGUAACUAUAACGGUCCUAAGGUAGCGAAAUUCCUUGUCGGGUAAGUUCCGACCUGCACGAAUGGCAUAAUGAUGGCGGCGCUGUCUCCAGCAGAGGCUCAGUGAAAUCGAAAUCGCUGUGAAGAUGCAGUGUACCCGCGGCUAGACGGAAAGACCCCGUGAACCUUUACUGCAGCUUGACACUGAACUUUGACCUUACUUGUGUAGGAUAGGUGGGAGGCUUUGAAGCUGGAACGCUAGUUCCAGUGGAGCCGUCCUUGAAAUACCACCCUGGUAAUGUUGAGGUUCUAACUCUGUCCCGUGAUCCGGGACGAGGACCGUGUCUGGUGGGUAGUUUGACUGGGGCGGUCUCCUCCUAAAGAGUAACGGAGGAGUACGAAGGUGCGCUCAGCGUGGUCGGAAAUCACGCGUAGAGUAUAAAGGCAAAAGCGCGCUUAACUGCGAGACCCACAAGUCGAGCAGGUACGAAAGUAGGUCUUAGUGAUCCGGUGGUUCUGUAUGGAAGGGCCAUCGCUCAACGGAUAAAAGGUACUCUGGGGAUAACAGGCUGAUACCGCCCAAGAGUUCAUAUCGACGGCGGUGUUUGGCACCUCGAUGUCGGCUCAUCUCAUCCUGGGGCUGAAGCAGGUCCCAAGGGUAUGGCUGUUCGCCAUUUAAAGAGGUACGCGAGCUGGGUUUAGAACGUCGUGAGACAGUUCGGUCCCUAUCUACCGUGGGCGCUGGAAAUUUGAGAGGAUCUGCUCCUAGUACGAGAGGACCAGAGUGGACGAACCUCUGGUGUACCGGUUGUGACGCCAGUCGCAUCGCCGGGUAGCUAUGUUCGGAAGGGAUAACCGCUGAAAGCAUCUAAGCGGGAAGCCUACCUCAAGAUAAGAUUUCCCUAGGACUUUAUGUCCUCUAAAGAGCCGUUCGAGACUAGGACGUUGAUAGGUUGGAUGUUGAAGCAUAGUGAUAUGUGAAGCUGACCAAUACUAAUUGCUCGUGAGGCUUGACUA
RNAcentral lists this ribosomal RNA (2889 nucleotides) under Acinetobacter baumannii 25569_7. RNAcentral's name for it is "bacterial LSU rRNA". It matches the Rfam family "Bacterial large subunit ribosomal RNA". The record is from RNAcentral. Lineage: Bacteria; Pseudomonadati; Pseudomonadota; Gammaproteobacteria; Moraxellales; Moraxellaceae.